GAUGAACGCUGGCGGCGUGCCUAAUACAUGCAAGUCGAGCGAACAGACGAGGAGCUUGCUCCUCUGACGUUAGCGGCGGACGGGUGAGUAACACGUGGAUAACCUACCUAUAAGACCGGGAUAACUUCGGGAAACCGGAGCUAAUACCGGAUAAUAUAUUGAACCGCAUGGUUCAAUAGUGAAAGACGGUUUUGCUGUCACUUAUAGAUGGAUCCGCGCCGCAUAGCUAGUUGGUAAGGUAACGGCUUACCAAGGCGACGAUGCGUAGCCGACCUGAGAGGGUGAUCGGCCACACUGGAACUGAGACACGGUCCAGACUCCUACGGGAGGCAGCAGUAGGGAAUCUUCCGCAAUGGGCGAAAGCCUGACGGAGCAACGCCGCGUGAGUGAUGAAGGUCUUCGGAUCGUAAAACUCUGUUAUUAGGGAAGAACAAAUGUGUAAGUAACUAUGCACGUCUUGACGGUACCUAAUCAGAAAGCCACGGCUAACUACGUG
Molecule: ribosomal RNA, 496 nt
Filed under: uncultured bacterium
Lineage: Bacteria
Description: partial 16S ribosomal RNA
Rfam family: Bacterial small subunit ribosomal RNA
Source: RNAcentral